Molecule: ribosomal RNA, 241 nt
Filed under: uncultured bacterium
Lineage: Bacteria
Description: partial 16S ribosomal RNA
Rfam family: Bacterial small subunit ribosomal RNA
Source: RNAcentral
CGAACGGGUGAGUAACACGUGGGUAACCUACCCCGAUGACCGGGACAACCCGAGGAAACUCGAGCUAAUACCGGAUGUGCUCCUUGACCGUGAGGUCAAGGCGUAAAGAUAGCUUCGGCCUUCGCAUCGGGACGGGCCCGCGGCCCAUUAGCUUGUUGGUGGGGUAACGGCCUACCAAGGCGACGAUGGGUAGCUGGUCUGAGAGGACGAUCAGCCACACUGGGACUGAGACACGGCCCAG